This 1261-nucleotide long non-coding RNA is filed under the name Crocodylus porosus (Australian saltwater crocodile). RNAcentral's name for it is "lncRNA (ENSCPRG00005016395.1)". The record is from RNAcentral. Lineage: Eukaryota; Metazoa; Chordata; Crocodylia; Crocodylidae.
CCUAUAUGGCAGUAAGAUCAGCAUUUCUAUUCAGGUAGCAGGGAGAGAGUUACUUGACUUCAUGGCUGAUUAUAAUCUACCUGAUUCCUUCCAAAUUCUUCAUGCCACAGGAGUUAACAAUCCUGUCUGUCCUUUUUAAUGGUCCUGAUGUUCCACUAAUCAAGCUGCCUUUCUUCUGCAGUUCUGUCUGUUAGCUGCUCCUGUUACUGUAACUCCUGUUUCCCUGCCAUGUAGAGUGUUUUUAAGUAGUCAAAAACAUUAACUUAGGUGUGGAAACGUUAAAUGAGGAAAACUUUAACUCUAGUGUGGAAAUAACUUUCAGUGAAGCAUUGGAUGAUGCACUGUCAAGAUGCUCAAAAAAGCUAUUUUUUUUUGUUUAUGAAUCUGAAAAAGAUAUUUAAUUCUAAAGACUGCAGGACUAGUGAAACAUAUUUUGAUUAUUUUUUGCCUUGUUGUGUUUACUGUAAGUGAUCAUACAGCAAAUCGGUAUAUAUUCCAAUAAACAAGUUUAAAGAUAUACUUGUUUUUGUUCUACUCUUAAACUGAAUAAUACAUCCAUAGGCCUUUAGCAUAUUAGUCAAGCUUCUAGUUUAUUUUUAACUGGAUAAAAAUGUGUGUUUUGUUAUAUGUAAUGAUGCACCAUACCAUCUGCACUCCGCUUUUCAAAAUCCUAGAUCCACCCAUGUAGCCAUCCAGCAGUAUCAUGCCACCACCCUGGAAGAGUUUCUGACUAAGAUCUGUAUCUUCUGUCUUGUGGAACAAUGACCCUGGAAUUCGAGCUGCUGGAAUAAGACAAUGACCUCUACUACCAGAUGAAAGAAAAGGGGAAGACCUGCAAGCAGCCUGUACCAGUGGGGAAAAUGGAAGAGUUGCUUUCAAUACAAUUUUCACUCUUUAUAAAUGAAGACACCUCUGUGGUUCCCCAAAUGCAAGCUAUUAAACAAGAUAGCGCAAGAGGAACCUGAAGAUGUGAUGAGACCCUGAGUAAGGUGCAUCCUUUCAGUACUUAAAAGUGAACAUAUUUGGUGGGUUUUUAAAUUUAUUACUGGUACUAUGAUGAAUACUGACUAUCGCAAGAUUGUUUUGUCCUUAUCAGGUUACUUCAGUACAGUGACAAAAUAAUUCUAUUGUACUUUUACCCUGUAAGUGUAUUUAUACUUUCUUUUCCUGCCUCUCCCUGUUUUGUAACUUACGUAAUGGAGAAAGGUAGUAAUAUUUUGGAAUGUGAAAGAAAUAGAUCGUUUAUAGAGAUGGAAUGACA